CGGUGUUCAACUGGCGUGCCCGCGGGACGUCCUGCCGGUGAGCUCAGCCCGCGAGGGCGGCUCAACUUGAAAUCCCAUCGCGGUGCUCUUCAUUGAGUGUCGAGGUGGGCCGGCACGAUUACUUUUGAACAAAUUAGAGUGCUUAAAGCAGGCUAAAAUUUGCCUGAAUACUGUGUAUAUGGAAUAAUGGAAUAGGACCUCGGUUCUAUUUUGUUGGUUUUCGGAACCCCGAGGUAAUGAUUAAUAGGAACGGAUGGGGGCAUUCGUAUUGCGACGUUAGAGGUGAAAUUCUUGGAUCGUCGCAAGACGGACUAAAGCGAAAGCAUUUGCCAAAAACGCUUUCAUUGAUCAAGAACGAAAGUUAGAGGUUCGAAGGCGAUCAUAUACCGCCCUAGUUCUAACCAUAAACUAUGCCAGCUAGCGAUCCGCCGACGCCCCUCUGAUGACUCGGCGGGCAGCUUCCGGGAAACCAAAGCUUUUGGGUUCCGGGGGAAGUAUGGUUGCAAAGCUGAAACUUAAAGGAAUUGACGGAAGGGCACCACCAGGAGUGGAGCCUGCGGCUUAAUUUGACUCAACACGGGAAACCUCACCAGGCCCAGACACUGGAAGGAUUGACAGAUUGAGAGCUCUUUCUUGAUUCAGUGGGUGGUGGUGCAUGGCCGUUCUUAGUCGGUGGAGCGAUUUGUCAGGUUAAUUCCGAUAACGGACGAGACUCUGACCUGAUAACUAGACGCACUUGCGGCAUCUCAAAGGUCCGCCGGCGGCUGGCUUUGCGCCCGUCGUCGCGCGCGAUUUUUACUGCCGGCGUACAAUAAAUUCUUCUUAGAGGGACAAGUGG
Molecule: ribosomal RNA, 838 nt
Filed under: uncultured eukaryote
Lineage: Eukaryota
Description: SSU rRNA
Rfam family: Eukaryotic small subunit ribosomal RNA
Source: RNAcentral